RNAcentral lists this ribosomal RNA (254 nucleotides) under uncultured bacterium. Its description in RNAcentral is "partial 16S ribosomal RNA". It matches the Rfam family "Bacterial small subunit ribosomal RNA", at positions 524 to 776 of the family's 1533-position model. The record is from RNAcentral.
UACGUAGGGGGCAAGCGUUGUCCGGAUUUAUUGGGCGUAAAGAGCUCGUAGGUGGUUCGGUAAGUCGGAUGUGAAAUCUCCAGGCUCAACCUGGAGGGGUCAUUCGAUACUGCCGUGACUAGAGGUCGGUAGGGGAGUGUGGAAUUCCUGGUGGAGCGGUGAAAUGCGUAGAGAUCGGAAAGAACACCAACGGCGAAAGCACUCUGCUGGGCCGACACUUACACUGAGAGACGAAAGCUAGGGGAGCGAAUGGG